Molecule: RNA transcript, 3138 nt
Organism: Ananas comosus (pineapple)
Lineage: Eukaryota; Viridiplantae; Streptophyta; Magnoliopsida; Poales; Bromeliaceae
Gene name: transcription factor GTE4-like
Exons: 6
Source: RefSeq, a predicted model, not a curated record
ACUCGGUCCCCUGAUCAACGCAGAAAAUUGCAACGGCUAGGAUCACACGUGCGCCCCACCCCGUAGCCUCAGAAAAUCCCCUACGGCCCAGCCCAAAUAUUCCCAACAGGAUCCCAUGGCGCAAUGGUGUGAUCAAUUUCCAACUCAAUCCAUCCGCUGGAUCCACGCCACGUGUCCGGAUGUACCAAGUAUUUCCACCUCUGCUUUUACUAAAAUCGCUCAAACUACACCACAGUGGGAGCCGAAGAGACCGACUCACACAAAGCUGAGAUCGGAGCGGGUGGGGGAAGCGAGAGUCGAAAUGUCUCGACUUCGGUGUAGAGAGCUCAACACAUUCCCCACACUCUCUACUCUCUCGCUCUCUCUACUCUUUCUAAUCCUCCGUUGUCCCCCACCUUUUGACCGCACCGAAGCGCCCACCAAUCAAUUCUCCCCCCUCGCGAUUUAGGGUUUCCUCCUCCUCCUCCGCCCAAACCCUAAUUCCUCCUCCGCCUCCUCCUAGAUCUCCCCCAUCUAGGGUUUCCCAAUUCGACUCCGAGCUCGAUCGUUGAUGCAUGGCGUCGGGGCCUCUGGUCGGGGCGGGCGGCGCCGGCGGCGACGGCUCCCGUGAGCGGCACCGGUGGGCGGAGAGCAAGGUCUACACCCGCAAGUCCCACAACAAGGCCUCCACCAAACCCUCCUCCGCCGCCACCUCCCAACCCCCUCCCUCCUCCUCCCAAACCCCCUCCGCCCCGCCGUCGCCCCCGUCCCCCGCCCCGCCCUUCGCCGCAGAUGAAGUGAACUCCUCCCACCACCGAGCGCCCCCGCCGCCGCCGCCGCCGCCGCCCCCUCCCGCUCAGCAGCCGCAGCUCCCCUCCUCUGCCGCCUCCGACGACGACGCCUCCAGCCUCAACCGCGCCCCGCCCCCCGGCGGCGCUGGCGGCGGCCUACCCAACGGCAACGGCCGCAGCGUCACCAUCAGUCUGGCCUCGCGUUCGCGGCAGGAGGUUCGCGAGCUCCGCCGCAAGCUCGCCGCCGAGCUCGAGCAGGUCCGCACCAUGGCCAAGAGGCUCGACGCCCGGGAGCGCCAGCUCGCGGCUUCCGCAGCCGCCGCUGCGUCCGUCGCCCCAGCUGCCGAGUACACUGUCUCCCAACUCUCCGCCACGGACCCCAACACUCCCGUCCCUUCAAAAUCCGUCGCUGCCCCGUUCCGCCGCCAGCUUAGCGUCUCGGUAGCCGCCGAGAGCAACCUAGAGUCCUUGGAGAAGGAAAAGCGCACCCCCAAAGCCAACCAAUUCUAUCAGAACCCUGACUUCGUCUCCGGUAAGGACAAGUUCCCGCCUCCCGACCCGCACGGCCACAAGAAGUCGAAAGCCAAUGGCAGCAAGAAGCACUUGCUACACGGGGAGGCCGACCAUGUCGAGAAGAAGCUCUACACGAAGGCCUUCAAGCAGUGCGCCUCCUUGCUCUCGAAGCUCAUGAAGCACAAGCAUGGGUGGGUCUUCAACACCCCUGUAGAUGUGAGAGGGCUAGGCCUGCACGACUACUACACCAUUAUCAGACACCCGAUGGACCUCGGCACGGUUAAGAACCGGCUCACGAAAAACAUGUACAAAUCUCCUUGGGAGUUUGCGGAAGAUGUGAGGCUAACCUUCCGCAAUGCCAUGACAUAUAAUCCGAAGGGGCAGGACGUCCACAUCAUGGCGGAGCAUCUCUAUCAGAUGUUUGAAGAGCGGUGGGCUAAGAUCGAGGCUGAAUUGUCCUCCUACCGCUCUCGUCAGCCUGCUCCCAAGAAGCCGCCGCCGCUCGAUAUGAGGAGUCUUGAAAGGUCGGAUUCAACAGCACACCCGAUGGCGGUGGAUUCGAAGUCGAAGCCUGCAGCUCAUACCCCGCAUAUCGGCCGCCCGCCGGCGCUAAAGAAGCCGAAGGCAAAGGACCCGCACAAGAGGGAGAUGACAUUCGAGGAGAAGCAGCGGCUGAGCAAUAAUUUACAGAAUUUGCCACCCGAGAAGCUGGAUAAUGUCGUGCAGAUUAUCAAGAGGAAGAACUUGUCGCUUAGCCAGCAUGAUGAUGAGAUUGAGGUGGAUAUUGAUAGUUUCGAUGUGGAAACUCUUUGGGAGCUUGAUCGGUUUGUGACUAAUUACAAGAAGAGCUUGAGCAAGAACAAGAGGAAGGCCGAGCUUGCUGUGCAAGCAAGGCAGGAGGCUGAGCAAAAUUCGGGAAAAGCGGUGCAAGAAAGAGUUACAGAGACCAUUGUCCCUGAAGCUCCAAAAGAAAAUAUAGCAGCGCAAGAUGACAAGUAUGCAGCUUCUUCAUCACCGGCUCAAGGUGAUAAGGAGGAAAAUGCUGCUAGAUCAAGUAGUUCGAGCAGCUCUAGCAGUGAUUCAGGUUCUUCUUCUAGUGAUUCUGACAGUGACAGUUCCUCUGCUUAUGGAUCGGAUGCUGGACAUUCACCUAGAACAUGAACAGCAGGGGAUCAGGUUUUCACAGUUUUGGUUGGAUUUGCAAUUCCUGACAUUAUGGAACUAAUCACAUUCAAAAGGAUAAAGCAUGAAGCAAGGUUUUAAGUGCCUAUCGGCACGAGCCGUGUCCACCAUGUCCCAUGAUGCACGCCUUGUGCUAACAAGAUAUUGAUAUCGGGGACAAGCCAAUGGAUGUGAACUGACUGAUGGAUUUUUUUCGCAUUAUUACCCCUGUGAAAAUUGUGGCUCGUUGAUCCAGUCCAUCUGCUUUUUUAUUGAAACUUUCUGUUCUCUAUCUAAUUAAAAAUUGCAGGACUCGCAGUUGUUCUGUUGCAGUAGUGGUUAGAAUUUCAUAGGAAGACGCACUCAUCAUGGGAAGUUAUGUACUUGUGUUAUUUGCAGAUCCAUUUGGGUGCAGUAAUGUAUGUAUUUGUAGGAUGUGACAUACAGGUAGCUCAUUUUCAGUGAAGUGCAAUGUAUAUUUAGUUCACCGCUUUUCAUAGAUCAACCACAUGGGUUGGCUAAAAGAACCAGUAAGCUGGUAUUAGGGGAAUAUAAUGGUCUCCUGUUGCUAUAACAGUAUGGGCCUUUUCUUAGUAGUCUCCUAAUAAUUGAAACAUUUUGUUGUUGAUCUGGAUCAUUUGUAAAUCAUUUUUCACUUGCUCUGCAUUUUAAAGCUGGUGUUUUGUUUUGUUCA